ACCACCCUGUACACUCCUGAUCUUGUCUGAUCUCAGAAGCCAAGCAGGGUAGGGCCUCGUUAGUACUUGGAUGGGAG
RNAcentral lists this ribosomal RNA (77 nucleotides) under Ailuropoda melanoleuca (giant panda). The record is from RNAcentral. Lineage: Eukaryota; Metazoa; Chordata; Mammalia; Carnivora; Ursidae.